This 355-nucleotide unclassified non-coding RNA is filed under the name soil metagenome. RNAcentral describes it as "partial contains 5.8S ribosomal RNA, internal transcribed spacer 2, and large subunit ribosomal RNA". The stretch from base 1 to 120 matches the Rfam family "5.8S ribosomal RNA", at positions 35 to 154 of the family's 154-position model. The record is from RNAcentral.
GAUGAAGAACGCAGCGAAAUGCGAUAAGUAAUGUGAAUUGCAGAAUUCAGUGAAUCAUCGAAUCUUUGAACGCACAUUGCGCCCAUUAGUAUUCUAGUGGGCAUGCCUGUUCGAGCGUCAUUAAGUCCACUUAAGCCCUGCUUAGUGUUGGGAGACUGCUCCAGCGGUGCUACCCUGUAGCUACCCUGCAGCUCCUCAAAGACAGCGGCGGAGUUGUGGUAUCCUCUGAGCUUAGUAACUUGUUCUAGCUUGCGAGUACACCACUUCCCCUGCCGUAAAACCCUUAAUUUUUAAUGGUUGACCUCGGAUCAGGUAGGAAUACCCGCUGAACUUAAGCAUAUCAAUAAGCGGAGGA